AAGUCGUAACAAGGUAUCCGUAGG
RNAcentral lists this ribosomal RNA (24 nucleotides) under Rhizoplaca melanophthalma. RNAcentral's name for it is "partial 18S ribosomal RNA". Lineage: Eukaryota; Fungi; Ascomycota; Lecanoromycetes; Lecanorales; Lecanoraceae. The record is from RNAcentral.